AUACCAUAUAGUAAAAAUAAAAGUAAAGCAGCUGAAAUACUGCAUGUAGAACAGAUGAGAGCCUUGUAUAAGUUCAGGUUACCGAAUUUGGCGCGAAGAAAAAGUGUAUAGCAAAUGACUACCCAUAAUAGCCAAAUUAUUACUACCCAUUUUUCCCUUGAGUUGUACAAGCCGACCGCAGUUACCUUUACACAUUGUGCCAAGAAAUUUACAGUUACUUUAACUGCCUUGGCCCUUUUCAUAGAAGUCUAAUGAGUUAGUGACUGAAGGUAAGAUUAACCCCAUUGUCUCACUUACAAGUCAAGAAUAUUAAAGCCAAAGUGCAAACAAGACACCAAAAUCCAAAUAACGUCCAUUCCGCUGCACCAUAAUUUUUAAAGAAAGCGUCUUUAUACUUUAGAUAACAAACUGCUAGAGCAUUGAGUAGAACGAUUGGAGUGAAU
Molecule: non-coding RNA, 443 nt
Organism: Schizosaccharomyces pombe (fission yeast)
Lineage: Eukaryota; Fungi; Ascomycota; Schizosaccharomycetes; Schizosaccharomycetales; Schizosaccharomycetaceae
Source: the annotation of a GenBank genome assembly